RNAcentral lists this ribosomal RNA (253 nucleotides) under uncultured bacterium. RNAcentral describes it as "partial 16S ribosomal RNA". It matches the Rfam family "Bacterial small subunit ribosomal RNA", at positions 524 to 776 of the family's 1533-position model. The record is from RNAcentral.
UACGUAGGGUGCGAGCGUUGUCCGGAAUUACUGGGCGUAAAGAGCUCGUAGGUGGUUUGUCGCGUUGUUCGUGAAAACUCACGACUCAAUUGUGGGCGUGCGGGCGAUACGGGCAGACUGGAGUACUGCAGGGGAGACUGGAAUUCCUGGUGUAGCGGUGGAAUGCGCAGAUAUCAGGAGGAACACCGGUGGCGAAGGCGGGUCUCUGGGCAGUAACUGACGCUGAGGAGCGAAAGCGUGGGGAGCGAACAGG